This 327-nucleotide ribosomal RNA is filed under the name uncultured eukaryote. RNAcentral's name for it is "partial 18S ribosomal RNA". It matches the Rfam family "Eukaryotic small subunit ribosomal RNA", at positions 1470 to 1796 of the family's 1831-position model. The record is from RNAcentral.
CCCUUAGAUGUUCUGGGCCGCAUGCGCGCUACACUGACGAAUGCAACGAGCUUAUAACCUUGGCCGAAAGGUCUGGGUAAUCUCCAAAUUUCGUCGUGAUGGGGAUAGAUUAUUGCAAUUAUUAAUCUUCAACGAGGAAUGCCUAGUAAGCGCAAGUCAUCAGCUUGCGUUGAUUACGUCCCUGCCCUUUGUACACACCGCCCGUCGCUCCUACCGAUUGAAUGGUCCGGUGAAGCGUUCGGACCGUGGCCUUUGGACGGUUCGCCGUCUGUUGGCUGCGGGAAGUUCGUUAAACCUUAUCAUUUGGAGGAAGGAGAAGUCGUAACA